Molecule: ribosomal RNA, 545 nt
Filed under: Scartelaos histophorus (walking goby)
Lineage: Eukaryota; Metazoa; Chordata; Actinopteri; Gobiiformes; Gobiidae
Description: partial 16S rRNA
Rfam family: Bacterial large subunit ribosomal RNA
Source: RNAcentral
CCUGCCCUGUGACUUGUUAGUUUAACGGCCGCGGUAUUUUGACCGUGCGAAGGUAGCGUAAUCACUUGUCUUUUAAAUGGAGACCAGUAUGAAUGGCAUAACGAGGGCCAAGCUGUCUCCUUUUUCUAGUCAAUGAAAUUGAUUUUCCCGUGCAGAAGCGGGAAUACUAACAUAAGACGAGAAGACCCUAUGGAGCUUCAGACAAAAGACAGCCCAUGUUAAAAAACCAAAUUAAUGGAAACAACAAAGUGGUACCUGUCCACAUGUCUUUGGUUGGGGCGACCGUGGGGCACCAAAAAACCCCCAUGAGGAAUGGGACUUUCACCCCUAAAGCCAGAGCCACAGCUCUUGCAAGCAGAAUAUCUGACCAACAAGAUCCGGCAAAGCCGAUCAACGGACCGAGUUACCCUAGGGAUAACAGCGCAAUCCCCUUUUAGAGCCCAUAUCGACAAGGGGGUUUACGACCUCGAUGUUGGAUCAGGACCCCCUAAUGGUGCAGCCGCUAUUAAGGGUUCGUUUGUUCAACGAUUAAAGUCCUACGUGAU